GACGAACGCUGGCGGCGUGCUUAACACAUGCAAGUCGAACGGAAAGGCCCUUCGGGGUACUCGAGUGGCGAACGGGUGAGUAACACGUGGGUGAUCUGCCCUGCACUUUGGGAUAAGCCUGGGAAACUGGGUCUAAUACCGAAUAUGACCAUGCGCCUCCUGGUGUGUGGUGGAAAGCUUUUGCGGUGUGGGAUGGGCCCGCGGCCUAUCAGCUUGUUGGUGGGGUAAUGGCCUACCAAGGCGACGACGGGUAGCCGGCCUGAGAGGGUGACCGGCCACACUGGGACUGAGAUACGGCCCAGACUCCUACGGGAGGCAGCAGUGGGGAAUAUUGCACAAUGGGCGCAAGCCUGAUGCAGCGACGCCGCGUGAGGGAUGACGGCCUUCGGGUUGUAAACCUCUUUCAGCACAGACGAAGCGCAAGUGACGGUAUGUGCAGAAGAAGGACCGGCCAACUACGUGCCAGCAGCCGCGGUAAUACGUAGGGUCCGAGCGUUGUCCGGAAUUACUGGGCGUAAAGAGCUCGUAGGUGGUUUGUCGCGUUGUUCGUGAAAACUCACAGCUUAACUGUGGGCGUGCGGGCGAUACGGGCAGACUUGAGUACUGCAGGGGAGACUGGAAUUCCUGGUGUAGCGGUGGAAUGCGCAGAUAUCAGGAGGAACACCGGUGGCGAAGGCGGGUCUCUGGGCAGUAACUGACGCUGAGGAGCGAAAGCGUGGGGAGCGAACAGGAUUAGAUACCCUGGUAGUCCACGCCGUAAACGGUGGGUACUAGGUGUGGGUUUCCUUCCUUGGGAUCCGUGCCGUAGCUAACGCAUUAAGUACCCCGCCUGGGGAGUACGGCCGCAAGGCUAAAACUCAAAGAAAUUGACGGGGGCCCGCACAAGCGGCGGAGCAUGUGGAUUAAUUCGAUGCAACGCGAAGAACCUUACCUGGGUUUGACAUGCACAGGACGACUGCAGAGAUGUGGUUUCCCUUGUGGCCUGUGUGCAGGUGGUGCAUGGCUGUCGUCAGCUCGUGUCGUGAGAUGUUGGGUUAAGUCCCGCAACGAGCGCAACCCUUGUCCUAUGUUGCCAGCGGGUUAUGCCGGGGACUCGUAGGAGACUGCCGGGGUCAACUCG
Molecule: ribosomal RNA, 1120 nt
Filed under: Mycobacterium sp. BB57
Lineage: Bacteria; Bacillati; Actinomycetota; Actinomycetes; Mycobacteriales; Mycobacteriaceae
Description: bacterial SSU rRNA
Rfam family: Bacterial small subunit ribosomal RNA
Source: RNAcentral